This 68-nucleotide transfer RNA is filed under the name Ictidomys tridecemlineatus (thirteen-lined ground squirrel). Its description in RNAcentral is "Spermophilus tridecemlineatus (thirteen-lined ground squirrel) tRNA". It matches the Rfam family "tRNA". From Rfam's summary of the family: Transfer RNA (tRNA) molecules are approximately 80 nucleotides in length. Their secondary structure includes four short double-helical elements and three loops (D, anti-codon, and T loops). Further hydrogen bonds mediate the characteristic L-shaped molecular structure. tRNAs have two regions of fundamental functional importance: the anti-codon, which is responsible for specific mRNA codon recognition, and the 3' end, to which the tRNAs corresponding amino acid is attached (by aminoacyl-tRNA synthetases). tRNAs cope with the degeneracy of the genetic code in two manners: having more than one tRNA (with a specific anti-codon) for a particular amino acid; and 'wobble' base-pairing, i.e. permitting non-standard base-pairing at the 3rd anti-codon position. Lineage: Eukaryota; Metazoa; Chordata; Mammalia; Rodentia; Sciuridae. The record is from Rfam by way of RNAcentral.
GGGGCUGUAGCUCAGUGGUAGAGCACCCACCUCGCAAGUGUGAGGCACUGGGUUCAAUCCUAACACCA